Molecule: unclassified non-coding RNA, 167 nt
Filed under: soil metagenome
Description: partial contains 5.8S ribosomal RNA, internal transcribed spacer 2, and large subunit ribosomal RNA
Source: RNAcentral
AACGGUCUAUACCUGCGGUACCUGCGGAGGGAUCAUUAGUGAACGCCCUCGCGGGCUUAUAACUAUUCCAAACCUCUGUGAACCGUGCCCUUCGGGGCUAUUUUACAAACAUGGUGUAAUGAACGUCAUAUAUCAUAACAAAACAAAACUUUCAACAACGGAUCUCU